GCCACGUCAAUGCCACGUGGGACGGAGACCUAGUCAAACAAGCCACGUAGGCGCCACGUCAGCCAAAACCGCCGAGGGAUCUCGUUUGUCCGGUUUUUGUAAGUUGGGGGACGGGUUGUACCCGUUUUGCGGUCAAGGGAUGAAAAUCGGACUGGGCGACAAAAUAGAGGGAUCCAAAGUUGACUUAUUCCUUUUUAAAGUUGGGGGAGACGUUAUACCUGGUUGGUUUUACAGUUGGGGAUGCGAUUCAACAAGCCCAAGAGGGAGUCAGAAUAGACUUAUUCCGCAAUCCAAUAAGACCGGAGCAAGAGAUCAUCUCCAAAAGCCAAAAAAAAAAAAAAAAGAAGAUCAAACCACUCCCCAGUCCCCACACUGAAUAGGGUUUGGUUACUUUUGUCGUUCUGUAGGCGAGUAGAUAGCUCCGCCCGCCGUUCGCCGGCGCCGUCGCCGUCGCCGUCGCCGGUGCGAAUUUGAGUUCAAAACCGAACCGCAAAUUGGCAGGAGAGGAGAAGAGGAGAGAUCUGAAGGAGGGGGAAACGGAAGUGAUUUCUCGGUCAGAUCCGAGGGAGGAAGGGGGUAUCUUCGUGAGCUCGUCUUUGGGGAUGUUGGCGCCGAACCGGCUCAUGUCCCAGCGGCGCGGCCGGCGGCGGCGGCGGCAUCGCCGGCCGCAAAUCCGAGCCCGCUCAGCUGGGUUUAUUGCCUCAACGGGUAAAAGAAAGAUAUCACCGUGUGAACAUGAUGGCGAUGGUCAUUCUCAAGCUGGCAAAAUGAUGAGAAAUUCAAUCCCAUAUCUUCCUGAGGACAUAUUGUCUCGUAUACAUUCCUUUAUGUCAAUGCGUGAAGCUGCUCGUGCUGCUUGCGUAUCUCGUGCUUUUCUACGUUCUUGGAGGUGUCAUCCCAAUCUUAUCUUUAAUAAAGACACGAUUGGCUUGAAGAGAAAUGCGUUUGGCGAGAAUUUCCACGGAAAAAUUGGGUGCAUUCUCAGGAACCACUCAGGCAUUAGCUUGAAAACGUUCAAGCUUGACUACAGUGGCAUGUGUGGGUUCGAUGGCACUAGUUAUCUUGACAGUUGGCUUCAGAUUGCUCUUAAACCAGGGAUCGAAGAACUCACCCUUUUUUUGUUUGACACAAACAAACAAUACAACUUCCCAUGCUCACUUUUGUCUGAUGGGGUUCGAGACUCACUUCGGUACAUUAAACUUCGAUUUUGUGCCCUCCAUCCCACACCUGAACUUGCCCCCUUGAGAAGCCUAACAAGUCUGUCUCUGUGGUUAGUGAGCUACAUGGGCUGAGUUAGAGUGCCUUCUUUCCAACUCUCUUGCUUUGGAGCAUUUAGAGCUCACUCAAUGCACGAAGAUAACUUGCCUGAAGAUACCUUUCGCCCUACAGCAGCCCAGCAGACUUAGUGUUUUUGAAUGCUCAAGCUUGAAAGUGAUAGAGAGCAAAGCUCCAAAUCUCUCUAGUUUUUUCCAUAGAGGAUUCAGGGUUAACUUCUCAGUUGUGGAAACGCUGCAAAUGAAGAAACUAGACAUGGGAUGUGCAAUCCAUGAUGCUCGUGCCAAUCUGCCAUCCAUUAUGCCAAAUCUUGAAACUCUUGUCAUUGAAUCAGUGAAUGAGGUGGUUGAUGCACCAAUGCUACCUACCAAAUUCAUCUACCUUAAGCACCUGACCAUUCGUAUGAUAACAGGAUCGACCAUUUCCCGGCCAUAUGACUAUUUCUCUCUGGUUUCUUUUAUCAAUGCAUCUCCUUCCUUGGAGACUUUGAUAUUAAAUGUGACUCUACGUAUGGUGAAUGAAUCGAUUUUCACGGAUUCACAACUGAGACACAUACCUGAACACCACCAUGGCCACCUCAAGAGUGUGAAGAUCACUGGUUUCAGCUCUGCGAAGAGCUUGGUGGAACUAACAUGUUAUAUCCUCAAUAAUGCGGUGUCACUUGAGUGUCUUACAUUGGAUACCAUUUAUGGUCCUAGGUGUGAUCAAGAUAAGUAUAGGCGGUGUUUUCCCAUGAUAGAUGGUGUUCUCACGGAAGCUCCAAGGGGGCUCGCGGCUAUCAGAACAUACAUUGAGGAUAAAGUUCCAUCUACAGUUAAUUUGACUGUUCUGGAACCUUGCAGCCGGUGCCAUGUUAGAAGAAGAGUGCAAACAUCAUCUCAAUCGGACAAUGCUGUUUCCAUAUAAUUUUAGAUGAACCAAGAUUUGUUUCCUUAACUAUUUAUGGCUGUGGUCCAAUGUACAUUAGUUCCAUUUAAUUUUAGAUGGACAAAGCUUUCUCUCUGAUUUAUCAGACCUGUUUAAUGUUUAUUAUUUGUAGUACAACAUAUAUUUUGGUCCAAGAUUGAAAUUUUCACAUA
Oryza sativa Japonica Group (Japanese rice) is the source of this 2354-nucleotide RNA transcript. It is a transcript of the gene named putative FBD-associated F-box protein At5g56820, with no coding region annotated. The record is from RefSeq and is a predicted model, not a curated record. NCBI's taxonomy places the organism in Eukaryota, Viridiplantae, Streptophyta, Magnoliopsida, Poales, Poaceae.